Oncorhynchus nerka (sockeye salmon) is the source of this 2244-nucleotide long non-coding RNA. RefSeq lists it as uncharacterized. The record is from RefSeq and is a predicted model, not a curated record. NCBI's taxonomy places the organism in Eukaryota, Metazoa, Chordata, Actinopteri, Salmoniformes, Salmonidae. The transcript is spliced from 6 exons.
CUGGGGCCUGUUGCACAAAAGUAGAAUUAAGACAUCCGGGAUAAAUGACUCAGCUGAGCUCAAUGAAGCCAAAACAUGUGCGUCCAGGCUUAAUUGGUUGCACAAAGACCAAGCCAGGAUGAGCAGACACGGAUUCAUUAAGCCAGGUGAAACCAAUCCUGGAUAGGUGCGCGCUCACGGCUCACUCAAAUAGACCCCGCCACAGAUCACAGAUUAACUGAUUUACCAUGGCAACUAGAGCCGCGUACUUUUCCCGGUCGGAAGCACAAAUCCUCAUGGAGGCAUACGAGGAGGUAAAAGAUAUAAUUAAGAAGAAAGGCAACACCGCCACAGUGAUAAAGCAAAGAGAAAAAGCGUGGCAAAGUAUUGCAGACCGCCUGAAUGCGUAAGUAGUGCACAAUUACACACUCACCGCUCCGCUGAAACAUCACAAUUACAAUUCAAAUAUUUAAUUCACAUCUCCAAAAAUGCAGUUGUACUGUAAUUAUGAAACGGUUAAAUUUUUAAUUGAAAUGCACUGCAGAUAUGAGUGAAAUUGUGUAAAGUAACUCCAUCACACUGUAUAAAGCUAUGAUAAAUUUUUUGAUAUUUUUACUGAAAACAAGACAAAAAUACCAAGUAAUUUUUUGCAGUGUGACUCCAUUAAGUGUGUGUGUGUGUGUGUGUGUGUGUGUGUGUGUGUGUGUGUGUGUAGAUUAAACAUGAACGGGCCAAAACGGACAUGGCAGCAGGUCAAAAUCAAAUACAAGAACAUUCUGCAGAAUGCAGUGAAAAAGAAUACCCACAGACAAGGCACGGGUGGUGGGUCACCAAAGGCUGACCUUACCCCAGCAGAGGACAUGGCCUUGGAGCUAAAUAAAGGCAGGCCCGUCUUAGAGGGGAUCCCUGGGGGAAAGAGACGAGCAUAGGUUCCUCCCAAGAUGCCACCCACUUCAUUCAAGUGCCUGGCAGCACUGUGUUCCUGUUAGAGCCACCAGCACAAGCACCAGACGAUGCUGAUCCAGGUGAAGGCCCCAGUGCAGCAGCAACAGCACAUGAUGGAGACGAUGAUGAGGAGGAGACCAUCUCUGGAUUCCAGAAGGCAUGAGGUAUCAUGUUAAGACGGUGAAAGUACUAUUUACUCUACAAUGGUGAGGAGUCCUCAUCAAAAUCAAAAAAUCUAAUUUCUUUUACAGGACCCAGAUGCUAUACAGUGGGAAAACCAGCCUGGCAACAUAGUGCGUAUUAAUAAAAGGACACCACAUCCUGCCAAAUUCCAGCUGCGCUAAUUGUAUUGUGUUCACAGAGCUCACAAGCUAUCAGAAAGUUGUAUGGCAACCACCUCCGGCGCCAAAUAGAACUGGCAGACAUAGACAUUCAGUACAAGAAGAAAAAGAUGGAAAAUCUUGCACUGGAGUCCGAAAUAAAAAGAGGACAAUUAGGAAACUGGACCUUGAAAUAAAAAAACUUGAGAGGGAGCUCCAAGAAGAUGACACAGCUCAAAAUAAAAAUUAGGUAUAUUCUCGUAAAGUCAAGUGAGCCAUGACAUAUGAGCUCUUAUUGUGAGCACACAGGACGGUGGCAUCUUUCUAAGGUUUUUUUUAUUUUCCCAGCAAUCAGUACAACCAAGUCAUCGUUAUAAGGCAUCGCCCUCUUUUGCCCACCCCCCCAGCACCAGGUGUGGCCACUAGCCUAUAUGAAGGCCCAAAAUUGUGUGUUCCUUUCUGCUCUGACAAUGGCAUGCCCAUUCGUGCGAGAUGUGGUGGAUGAAGAAGCACUUGUGCUGAGGAGAGCCUUCAGGCGAGAAAGGGUCUUCAGGGACCGGUUGGACCCACUGGCCUUCCCUGAUGACCAUCUAUAUGAAAGAUACAGGUUUUCUGCAGAUGGCAUCAGGUAUCUAUGCAGACUACUGGGUCCCAGGAUUAAGCACCGCACUGCACGGAGCCAUGCACUGAGUGUGGAGCAAAUGGUUUGUGUGGCCUUGCGCUUUUUUUGCUAGUGGAGCCUUCCUGUACUCAGUGGGGGAUGCAGAACAGCUGAACAAGGCCACAAUUUGCCGCACAAUAAGGAGUGUGUGUCUGGCUAUCAAAGCAUUAGCAGAUGUCUUCAUCUCCUUCCCUGGCCACAGAAGACUCUGUGACAUCAAAGAGGAGUUCUAUAGGAUUGCAGAUGGUCUGCAAUGCUGACUGUGUGAUCAGCAAUGUUGUGGCAAAAUGGCCUGGCUCAGUCCAUGACUCCAGAAUUUUCGGGCCUCUGAAAUCUAUC